UACGUAGGGGGGCAAGCGUUGUCCGGAAUCAUUGGGCGUAAAGAGCGCGUAGGCGGCCCUGUAAGUCCGCUGUGAAAGUCAAAGGCUCAACCUUUGAAAGCCGGUGGAUACUGCAUGGCUAGAGUACGGAAGAGGCGAGUGGAAUUCCUGGUGUAGCGGUGGAAUGCGCAGAUAUCAGGAGGAACACCAAUAGCGAAGGCAGCUCGCUGGGACGUUACUGACACUGAGGCGCGAAAGCGUGGGGAGCGAACAGG
Molecule: ribosomal RNA, 254 nt
Filed under: uncultured bacterium
Lineage: Bacteria
Description: partial 16S ribosomal RNA
Rfam family: Bacterial small subunit ribosomal RNA
Source: RNAcentral